Molecule: long non-coding RNA, 445 nt
Organism: Pollicipes pollicipes
Lineage: Eukaryota; Metazoa; Arthropoda; Thecostraca; Pollicipedomorpha; Pollicipedidae
Exons: 3
Source: RefSeq, a predicted model, not a curated record
CCGCAGCGGUGCACGGCUUGGCGUUGUGAAACUGAGGGCAGGCGGACGGCAUUGCUUCGGCGGUCGGUGGUUCGCGGGAGUGGUAUGCUGUGAAGAUGGAAGGACUACGUCUGGCGAAAUGCGUGCAACUGCUGCUAGUGCUGGCCACUUUGCUGUUGGGUCCGGCAGCCGGCGGCCCACGGUCAAGACCAAGCCUGGGACAGGGUGGGGCUUGGCGGACGCGCGGACCUGGCGCGGACCUGGCGGAGAACGACGACCUGGUUUACUUGCGGCGGGAACAGCCGGGCGGCGGACCGGCGGAACAGGGAAACCAUGGCAACGCCUUCGACAGUAGCGCCAGCACGCCCGCUGUGGGCGAUGGCAGCGCCGCUCCACGGCGACCGGCGGAAGCCUCGUUUGGCGCGCCAUCCGAGGCUUCGGAUGCGAACACCAGCCAACUCGAUGA